UACGGGGGGGAGCAAGCGUUGUUCGGAUUUACUGGGCGUAAAGGGCGCGUAGGCGGCCAGCACAAGUCAGUUUGUGAAAUCUCCGGGCUUAACCUGGGAACUGCAGUCGAGACUGUCUAGCUAGAGUAUGGGAGAGGGAAGUGGAAUUUCAGGUGUAGCGGUGAAAUGCGUAGAUAUCUGAAGGAACAUCAGUGGCGAAAGCGACUUCCUGGACCAAUACUGACGCUCAUGUGCGAAAGCGUGGGGAGCAAACAGG
This 256-nucleotide ribosomal RNA is filed under the name uncultured bacterium. Its description in RNAcentral is "partial 16S ribosomal RNA". It matches the Rfam family "Bacterial small subunit ribosomal RNA", at positions 524 to 776 of the family's 1533-position model. The record is from RNAcentral.